Molecule: ribosomal RNA, 467 nt
Filed under: uncultured bacterium
Lineage: Bacteria
Description: partial 16S ribosomal RNA
Rfam family: Bacterial small subunit ribosomal RNA
Source: RNAcentral
GAUGAACGCUGGCGGCGUGCUUAACACAUGCAAGUCGAACGGAAAGGCCCAAGCUUGCUUGGGUACUCGAGUGGCGAACGGGUGAGUAACACGUGGGUGAUCUGCCCUGCACUUCGGGAUAAGCCUGGGAAACUGGGUCUAAUACCGGAUAGGACCACUUCUUGGAUGUUGUGGUGGAAAGAUUUUUCGGUGUGGGAUGAGCUCGCGGCCUAUCAGCUUGUUGGUGGGGUAAUGGCCUACCAAGGCGUCGGCGGGUAGCCGGCCUGAGAGGGUGUACGGCCCAAAUGGGGCUGAGAAACGGCCCAGACUCCUAAGGGGGGCAGCAGGGGGGGAUAUUGCACAAAGGGCGCGAGCCUGAUGGAGCGACGCCGCGGGGGGGAUGACGGCCUUCGGGUUGGAAACUCCUUUCGCUAGGGACGAAGCGUUUUGUGACGGUACCUGGAGAAGAAGCACCGGCUAACUACGUG